RNAcentral lists this ribosomal RNA (514 nucleotides) under uncultured bacterium. Its description in RNAcentral is "bacterial SSU rRNA". It matches the Rfam family "Bacterial small subunit ribosomal RNA", at positions 16 to 507 of the family's 1533-position model. The record is from RNAcentral.
AUCCUGGCUCAGAGCGAACGUUAGCGGCGGGCCUAACACAUGCAAGUCGAACGCGAAAGGUCUCGGACUGAGUAGAGUGGCGCACGGGUGAGUAACACGUAGGUAAUCUACCCUUGGCGGGGGAUAACGUUCCGAAAGGAGCGCUAAUACCGCAUAAGACCACGGAGUCUCCGGACGCUGUGGGAAAAGGUGGCCUCUUCUUGAAAGCUACCACCGAAGGAUGAGCCCUGCGUCCCAUCAGCUAGUUGGUAAGGUAAUGGCUUACCAAGGCGAAGACGGGUAGCUGGUUUGAGAGAAUGAUCAGCCACACUGGCACUGGAACACGGGCCAGACUCCUACGGGAGGCAGCAGUGAGGAAUAUUGGGCAAUGGGCCGAAAGCCUGACCCAGCCACGCCGCGUGAGUGAUGAAGGCCCUCGGGGUCGUAAAGCUCUGUGGAGAGGGACGAAAACCCUGGUUUCAAAUAGGCUCCAGGCUUGACGGUACCUCUUUAGCAAGCACCGGCUAACUCUGUG